CUGCUUCCAUACUAAACGAUUCAUGCUGAGUGUGGAUCAACAGAUUGGAAACAACAACAUCUCCUGUUUUAUUUCUGCCCUCUGCAUGAUGUUUGGGAGCUAUUAUUGUUUUAACAUACAUUAUCCAUCGGGGCUGGCGUCUACACUGGAGUUUCUGCAGAGGUGUUUCUUCUCAAUCAACCCAGACAAGGGCAGUAAGGUGGAAGAAACCCGUAAACCCAGACUGCGUGUGAACCCCCGUGUACUCACCUUGAUCCAGGAACUUUCGGAUCAUGAGUGGCGUGAUGUUUGAGAAAGGACUAAAGUCACAGGUGCAUUUGCUUCAUAUGCUUCAUGAUGUUCAGAAAAGACAAAUGAGAACUUCAUUAAAAACAAAUAUUUCAAAGGCAUGUAAGUGUAUGUG
Molecule: long non-coding RNA, 403 nt
Organism: Xiphophorus couchianus (Monterrey platyfish)
Lineage: Eukaryota; Metazoa; Chordata; Actinopteri; Cyprinodontiformes; Poeciliidae
Exons: 3
Source: RefSeq, a predicted model, not a curated record